RNAcentral lists this ribosomal RNA (453 nucleotides) under uncultured Pelotomaculum sp. RNAcentral's name for it is "bacterial SSU rRNA". It matches the Rfam family "Bacterial small subunit ribosomal RNA", at positions 929 to 1382 of the family's 1533-position model. The record is from RNAcentral. Lineage: Bacteria; Bacillati; Bacillota; Clostridia; Eubacteriales; Desulfotomaculaceae.
GCGGUGGAGCAUGUGGUUUAAUUCGACGCAACGCGAAGAACCUUACCAGGCUUGACAUCCCUGACGCGUAUGAAAGUACGUUUUCACCCUCGGGUGACAGGGAGACAGGUGGUGCAUGGUUGUCGUCAGCUCGUGUCGUGAGAUGUUGGGUUAAGUCCCGCAACGAGCGCAACCCCUACGUUUAGUUGCUAACGCGUGAAGGCGAGCACUCUAGACGAACUGCCGUUGACAAAACGGAGGAAGGUGGGGAUGACGUCAAAUCAUCAUGCCCCUUAUGUUCUGGGCUACACACGUGCUACAAUGGCCGGUACAGACGGACGCAAAGCCGCGAGGUGGAGCAAAUCCUAAAAAGCCGGUCUCAGUUCGGAUUGCAGGCUGCAAUUCGCCUGCAUGAAGUCGGAAUCGCUAGUAAUCGCAGGUCAGCAUACUGCGGUGAAUACGUUCCCGGGCCUU